CUUUCUGAUCCGUGGAUCAGAACGUUAGCUUUUCGGCUGAGCCAAGCACAGGUAGGCCAAGACCCGAAAGGAACUGCAGGCAGAGGGGCGAUUCCUGAGCGACCCCGCCGGCUUUCCCGCGUUCCGCCGGUGGAUCGGCGGCCUCGCCGUCGCUCGAGUGUGGGUAGGGCCUGAUCUACCGGCUCGACUUGUGUAUAGCCGUAGUUAGGUCGUAGCUAGGGUUCCGGCGUCCAGCCGUUCGUCCUUGGGGCGCGGCGGCGGCGGCUGAUUGGUUUGUCUGCCACUGAUCCAUCUCCAGGGGGUUGAAUAAGGCUUCCUCCAGCAUCUACUACGCCUCUGGUGGCACGUCCAGCGCCAGAUCCGUUGUUGAUUCCGGGUGGAUUGGGUCUACCGGAGUUCCUUCUUCCUCGCCAACUGCAUCGGCCAUCUACUGACAGGGUUAACCCUGAAGCACCUGGGGGGAAGAAAAGGGGAAGCCAGAAGCUGAGAACAGAAGAUCUUGCAGGUGCCCUGCAUUGGUGUGGAUGUCGCGGGCAGCGGACAACUGCUGGUGCAUCACAGAGCACCGCGAGGGGCACAACCACUCCAUGUCUCUUAUGAUGGGUGAAAAGGUGCACUGGCCGUCACAACAGCCACAUCGAUGUGUACACUAAAGAUUUGAUUACACAGCUCAGGGGGAAUAAUGUAAACCUUGGAAAAGUGUACAUCAUCAUAGGCAGUUUUUUCGGGUCUGUUCAGAAGGUGCCAUUGACAAAAAGGACACUGAGGAACAUCUGUCUUAAGAAAAGCCACGAACAGAUUGAUGAUGAUGUGAGGAAGACCUUGGAGGUUUUUGCGGACAUAUUAGCUGGUGAUCCCAGCUUCACUUACCGGGUUUUGGCGAACAACGAUAGCAGAGUGAAGAACCUGAUGUGAACAAAUGGUAGCACCCGGAUGCAAUACCAGUUCUCCGCCGGAGCAGGAGAAGAGUUUCAGAUGGUUCAAGUUUUGGAUCAGCGACAAGCGCGUGGAGCACCAACUUGCUGGCAGUUGAUGAUACCCAGGAUGACGAGGAGGGUGAAGUAAUACAUCAGGAGCCCAACCAGGAGAAGCUGCUGAAUGUGGAGAUGGAAGACAAGGGCAUGGAUUCUGGUCUGGAGGAAGGUUUCGGCGACCAUGAUCCUGCUGCUGUUGCCGCCUCGGUGAAUCUGACGAGGACCAUGGGUCGGGAGUGAUCUGUGUAGCAGGGUGAUGCUGAAUCUGACGGAGAAGGUGAAGUAGACAGUAAGGCAGCGAAACGGCUGAGGACGCAAGAUUAGUCUAAUUAAACCUAGCGUGCCAGUCUAUCAGCAUGAAAAAAGUGUAGUUUGAAAGGAAGCGGAGUUUCUACACCCAGGAGCAAAUGCUCCUGGUGUGAACAGUGAAAUAAAAAAAAAUCAAAAAAAAGUUAAAAAAUUC
This is a long non-coding RNA of Triticum aestivum (bread wheat), 1437 nucleotides long. RefSeq lists it as uncharacterized. The transcript is spliced from 4 exons. NCBI's taxonomy places the organism in Eukaryota, Viridiplantae, Streptophyta, Magnoliopsida, Poales, Poaceae. The record is from RefSeq and is a predicted model, not a curated record.